This 1812-nucleotide long non-coding RNA is filed under the name Oryza brachyantha (malo sina). RNAcentral's name for it is "long non-coding RNA (OBRA_LNC001314)". Lineage: Eukaryota; Viridiplantae; Streptophyta; Magnoliopsida; Poales; Poaceae. The record is from RNAcentral.
ACGUACGUAGGUAUUUAUGGUUUUGUGCAUCUUAAAAUAUAAAAGAAAUAUUAGUUAAGGAUAAUUUCUUAUUGCCUCUCUGUUAGAUUAAUAGGCUAAGGUCCAUUUAACCCCAAUAAACUCCAUAAGCCCAAUUAGUAUUAAGAGGAUUAAUAUCAUCUUGAUCUGUCGCAUAUCUCCAUAUAUCUACCCGGGAUUAAUUGACUCCCUCCUUUCAAGAAUAAUCCUCAGCCUUCUGUUCCGCGUUGCUUCUUGUCUCCCUAGUUCUGACCGCAUACACGAAUGGACAAUCAAAGUUUCUGGGGAGCGUAUUCUUGGGAGCGACUGCUCAUGAUCUUCAGCGCCCUCUUCCUCGACUGGAUCAUCAUGUCUGCUGCUGGUGGAGGCAACGGCGCUGGCAAUGGAGCAGGAUACGGCGAUAGUACCGGUGGAGCCGGGAACAACUUCAUCGAGGCAAUAACACCAACAGUGCCUCAUCUACUUAGGAGCUUAGAGCAUCUCCAGCGGUUUGGCCAUUUUUGGCUCUCAAUUUGUCUAUUUAGCCAACUUGCCAAAAAGAUUUCUCUCCAUCCCUACUGUAUGCUCCAACAGACUCUUUAUUUCUAACUCUCCAAAUCCUAACGGCUAGUUUCCUCUCCAAACAAAAUCAAUUAUGGAAUCCCAUUCAGUUUUCAGGCUUUCGGAAGGAAGACGAUCAAGCUGCAGUAUUUGAACAAAAGGUACAUUAAUCGACCAAGAUGAGAAGUCAAGUGAGCACAGAUCACAAACAAGUUGAUACGGUGAGAUUGAGACCACACAGUAGACAGUACACCAGAACUACUACCCCAUCUCCUCUGCAAAUGCCAUACAUACUACAGGAGUAAAUUCCCCAGCAAUGCACAGGGGGACAGAUGAUCACAUUCACCUUUCUGGAUUCUGAUUUCUAUUCACCCAACAACCAUAUGCAUCUCUAUCUCUAGUCAUGAACAAUCUAGAUUCAGAAGGAGAGAGGGUUAAUAUGCAUCGAAUAGUUGAACCAUGUAUCAUAGUUUAUCUUUUGUUGGCAUAUUAAGAUUGCACAAUUGUUUCAUUAGCACAUAAAACUGAGAAAGUAUAUAGGAAGUUGAAAACUAAUGUUUAUAUAAUAAAAAUUUUGGUCUUUUUUAAGAUGGCACCAAACUACUCAACAGAGUUUAUUAUUGGUCUUUUUAAGAUGGCACCAAACUACUCAACAGAGAAAAAAGAACAGAGAAACUACUCAACAUGCCUUAAACCUCUCAAUUUUUGUACUAAUUUUGAGUUCAGCCUCCAAUCAUGCUGUUACCAGCCCAAACUAUUCAACAUAGAAAAAAGAACGGUGCUUGAGAAGCAUUAGCUUUACUGCAAGCAUAUGAACAAAUGCUGGAACAGACCGUGCAGCGACUAGCUCGCUCAGCGGCGACGGACUCCAGGCCAGCGACGACGAACUGGAGAGGGCAGCGCUGCAGCGGCGGUGGCCUGGCCGGCCAGAUCUGGACGGGGGAAGAGGCGGUCUGGCCGGAAGCGGCGGCGGCCGGACGGCGGUGGACGGCUCGCUAUUUCUUCGAUGGCUGCCGCGGCUGCUGCCUAGCCGGACGGUGGUGGCGGCCGGACUGGAGAGGGGAGCAGCGGUGGGGGUGGCUGGAUCUGGACGGCUGCGGGGGGAGGGGGUCUCGCAGGACGGCGGCGUGGUUGGCCGGCCGCGGGGGCGGGAGAUCCGCGCGGCACCGGCCUCCAGUCAGGUUGGCUGGCCAAAUUUGGCCAGUUUGGGGCUGCUUUGGCCAGCCGGAUGACUUAGCCAUACAGUUGGCCAGU